AGUCUCUCUGCCCUAGAUGUCCUAGUUUCCUUUGAAAUACCCUCCACCCUCCGGAGAAUUUCAAAGGAGAUGCAGCUUCUUCUCCCCACCAUAGAUAGCCCAAGGGUGAAGCAAUUCCGUGAUUCUGCAAUUCCAAGACCACUUUAUUGUUAAUUGGUCACCCGUGUGUUAACUGACAUUCUCCAUUUUCUACCUCUACAUCAGUCCUUCCUUUUUAUUUGCAGCUAAGAACGUCUCUCUCAAUCAGUUAUAAAGUACUUUCCCAAAUGGUUUCUGCAGUGCUCUAUACCCAAUAAGAGUUCAAGAAAUCCAACUGAUCCAUUUCUACCCAUGAAGAGAAAGUGGAAAGCAAAGGAUUCGAGGCUGGGCCAGGUUUAUCCUUAGAGGACAAACUGACUUUUAUUAGUUUACAAUAUGGAUCUGUCAAGAGAACUUCACUACCCAAUUUAUUCUCCAGCCUACAUAUACCCCAUACUAUGUUUGUUUUCCCCUUUCCCGGGCUCCACAUUCCAGAAAGACACUGGAUUUGGAGUUGUGCCAGCCUAAGAAAAAGAGGAGCUGAAGAUGUCCCUGGUUAAAAAGACUUCAAGCUCACCGUGGACAGGGUAUGCGUCUCUUCAUCGCCGUAGCGUUCUCUUCCCUUCAUCGCCCUGUGCGGCCAGCGAUCAUCUUUGUUGUGAGAAGGUGAAGUUUUCACCCUCCGAAGCAGUGAUAAGCCGGAGGAAGACCAUCUUUCCUUCCGGAAUCCCCGUUGGAUGUUUGGGCAACAGAUGGUAGCU
Molecule: long non-coding RNA, 779 nt
Filed under: Ornithorhynchus anatinus (platypus)
Lineage: Eukaryota; Metazoa; Chordata; Mammalia; Monotremata; Ornithorhynchidae
Description: lncRNA (ENSOANG00000039269.1)
Source: RNAcentral